GAUGAACGCUGGCGGCAGGCUUAACACAUGCAAGUCGCGGGGCAGCACGGGGGUUGCUUGCAACCCCUGUUGGCGACCGGCGCAUGGGUGAGUAAUGCGUAUCCAACCUGCCCUUCACCACGGGAUAACCCGGCGAAAGUCUGACUAAUACCGUAUGUUUUCCAUUGACGGCAUCCGAGUUGGACGAAGGGCUUGGGGGUGAAAGGGUGGGGAUGCGUCUGCUUAGGUUGAUGGCUGGGUAACGGCCCACCGUGGGCACGAUCGGUAGGGGGGCGGAGAGGAAGGACCCAGACACUGGAACUGAGACACGGUCCAGACUCCUACGGGAGGCAGCAGUGAGGAAUAGUGGUCAGUGAGCGUAAGCCUGAACCAGCCAAGUAGUGUGCAGGAUGACGGCACUAUGGGUUGUAAACUGCUUUUAUGAGGGGAUAAAGUAGUAAACGUGUGGGUUUUUGCGGUUACCGCAGAAAAAAGGACCGGCUAAUUCCGU
This 490-nucleotide ribosomal RNA is filed under the name uncultured bacterium. RNAcentral describes it as "partial 16S ribosomal RNA". It matches the Rfam family "Bacterial small subunit ribosomal RNA", at positions 28 to 506 of the family's 1533-position model. The record is from RNAcentral.